Molecule: long non-coding RNA, 776 nt
Filed under: Homo sapiens (human)
Lineage: Eukaryota; Metazoa; Chordata; Mammalia; Primates; Hominidae
Description: non-protein coding lnc-PIGP-2:1
Source: RNAcentral
GGCCGCCCGGGGCUCUGGGGACUCGGGUGUCCAGGUGCCGAAGUCGCCGCUUCCACGGGGGACUCAGGCCCGUGAGUGGGUUUCCUAAGAACUUACCAGAUUCCACGGCUCGGGUUUCCUGCCUUGGAUCCUGCUUUUUAUUCCCCAGGGGGAGUUAUUUAUAGACAGGAAUCGUGUGUUCAAGGCCUGGCUCUUCGGACUCGGCGUUUUUCUUGUUCGAGGUGCUUCAAUGGGGGCUGGAUGCCAUCAUCUUCCAUCCAUUGAAGACUUGAACAAGUGGGCCCUAUUUCUUGUGUCUCCUUUUAUACUUGAAGCAGAACACAUAGCAUUUGUGACGGAGAGCAUUUGGGUACAAAGUGAGAAUUUACAGAGAUCAUCCUCUUCAGAAACAUUGUCAAGUGGUCAGACUGUUGUUUGCCAUUAGCUUGCAGACCUGGGGAUCCUUAUCGGCUAAUUGCUGAAGCAAGUGUGGACAACUUCAGCAAGCUGGGGGUGGCGUUCAUGGAAGAUAGACUCCACAUGGAUAAUGGACUGGUACCCCAAAAGAUUGUGCGGUGCACUUGCAGGACUCCACUCUGAAGGAAGUUAAGGAUCAGGUCUCAAACAAGCAAGCCCAGAUCCUAGAGCCGAAGCCUGAACCUUCUCUUGAGAUUAAGCCUGAGCAGGACGGUAUGGAGCAUGUUGGCAGAGAUGACCCAAAGGCUCUUGGUGAAGAACCCAAACAAAGGAGAGGCAGUGCCUCUGGGAGUGAGCCUGCUGGGGACAGUGACAGGGGA